AAAAGCAGGGGAUCGCAAGACCUUGCGCUUUUGGAGCGGCCGAUGUCUGAUUAGCUAGUUGGUGAGGUAAAGGCUUACCAAGGCUUCGAUCAGUAGCUGGUCUGAGAGGACGACCAGCCACACUGGGACUGAGACACGGCCCAGACUCCUACGGGAGGCAGCAGUGGGGAAUUUUGGACAAUGGGGGAAACCCUGAUCCAGCCAUGCCGCGUGAGUGAAGAAGGCCUUCGGGUUGUAAAGCUCUUUCAGCCGGAACGAAAAGGUUACGGUUAAUACCCGUGACUAAUGACGGUACCGGAAGAAGAAG
Molecule: ribosomal RNA, 307 nt
Filed under: uncultured beta proteobacterium E17_pH4/50/FL
Lineage: Bacteria; Pseudomonadati; Pseudomonadota; Betaproteobacteria
Description: bacterial SSU rRNA
Rfam family: Bacterial small subunit ribosomal RNA
Source: RNAcentral